This is a long non-coding RNA of Quercus robur (English oak), 9016 nucleotides long. RefSeq lists it as uncharacterized. The transcript has 2 exons. NCBI's taxonomy places the organism in Eukaryota, Viridiplantae, Streptophyta, Magnoliopsida, Fagales, Fagaceae. The record is from RefSeq and is a predicted model, not a curated record.
AAAAAAGAAAAAUCUAAGCUAGAGGGCUUAUACUUUUUUAUUACAAUAUUAUUUUUAUGUAAUACUAUAAAAUAAAUUGAUAUAAUAAAUGAGGUUGAGCCAUCCAGUACGUAUUAGGAUUUGUUCAAAAUUAUUGGACCGUUUUUUCAAAAAAAAAAAAUCAUUUGAAUGUUACCUCCAACACUUCGUUGAUUUAAACCGAUUUAGAGUUAGCUUUGAUAAUAAACAAGUAACCAUUUCAUAAAAAACAUAGAUUUUAAAACUUGUUAAACAUAUGGUAAAAUGUGUGAAAACUUGUUAAGAAUAUAGAAAAUAUGCAGGAGAAAAUACAAUUUUGAUCUCUAUAUUUUAGAAUUACAGUCAAUUUGAUAUCUAUAUUUUGGUAACAGUCAAUUUAGUUCAUGUUAUUUUCAAUUUACAAUCAAUUUGCUUUUUACCAUUAAUUCACUAAUAGAAAAUACGUUUGUAGUAAACAGAUUGCAUAAUUAGCAUAGUUGAAGUUAAGUGGUACAGCCAUAUCAACUAAAAAUCCUUUAUAUUUUGUACUCUGUUAGAAGUAUGUGAUUCAAUGAGUCAAUUUACCAUAUCACAAUAGUUUAAACUUUUGAGACAAUUGGUAAUUUAACAUGCAAAUUGAAAAAGAAGUGAUCUUAUUUAUUAUAGGCGAAAAAAAUAUUUUGGUCCCUACCUUUUGAGAGCAGUCAAUUUGGUCCAUAUUAUUUUCUACUUGCAGUCAAUUUGAUCCAUAUCGUUAACUCACUAACAAAAAAUGCAUAAAUGACAAACCAUUUGCAUUGUUGGCAUGAAUAAUAUUAAUAAAUUAAAUGAGAUGAUUACUUGUGUAAAUUAUAGUGACCAUAUCAAUGCUUAGAUGGCAAUAUAAGUCACACCAGUUAAAAAAAAAAAAAGCCCUUCUUUUCUUUACCAAUUUUUUUCCUUUCGUUAUUUUUUCUUUUAAUUUUCUAAUAAUUCCUUUAACAUUUCAAAAAUUCAUUUUAUUUUUUGUUCUACUCUGUUCUUUAGUUCUUCUUCCCAAACCCAAAAUCUACAAGAGGAUAACUAUGAGUUCUGUAGGGAUAACAGGCCCAAAAGUGUAUAUUGGGUCGUGGAUCUUGUUCGAGGACACUUAAUAGUCCGAAGACAGGUAAACGUUAUCGUGGAAGUGCACAUUAGUGAACAAAGAAAGAGGUCUAGUCAAGAGGGUUCAGGAAGGAGGUGUAACAUCCCAGUCAGUUAGACAAAAAAAAAAAAAAAAAAAAAAAAAGAGAUCAGAUUUUUUUAAGUUCCCACGUGCCCCCCACUCCCCACCACUCAUUUCAAUCUAUCUCACCCUCUCAUGUCCGGCCAUAUCUCUCAUUUGUUUCUUUUUCUUUUCUUUUCACUUAAACACACUCCCCUCUAUCACUCUCAUCCUCUCCACUGGUACUUCCACACCACCACCACCAUUUCCACCAUCAUUCUCCGGCAAGAUCACCGGAAAAUUCUUGAGAACCCAUAAGCACCUUCACAUUCUUUUUUUGAGGUAAAAAUUUCUAAUCUUUUUGGUUCUAGCUAAUUUCCUUGGAGUUUGGAGAAUUAGGCUUUUGCGGUUGCGAGGUAAGUAGCUUUUUAAUGAGAUUUUUGAAAAAUAAACAUGUUGCAUAAAUGAUGUUUUUGGGUUAGACACACUUUUGGAAACUACCUAUGGAAAUUAUAUUUUCCUAAAACUAUUGUGUCAUAACCUUAAUAUAUGUAUGAUUAUAUAUGAAAAUGCAUCAUAUUUGGUAUUGCAUUUGGGAAAAUGCAUGAAUUGUUGAUAUAAAAAAAUGAGCAUCUUUUAUUUAAUCUUUGAUAAGGAAAUCAUGGAUUUUAUGGUAUAUUAUAAAAUUUGAAUAUGCUUAUCUUGUCUUAUUAUACGGGAAAUUGAUAGAAAAUCUCUUGACAAGAAUGAAGUUGAAAACCUUACAAAUUUUAUGAAAGUUGGAUUAUUUAAGAUUUUUCUAAAAUUACCUAGACAUAAACUAUGUGUUUCAAAGUAUAUGUAACCUAUGAGUUUUAUGUGGUUUUAACACCAUGCCAUGUGUGAUUUCCCGAUGAUCACCUGAUUUGGUUUCCAUUGUCUUUAUGAUAAUGGAAUCAAAUCUAGGUCAGUGCCCUUUCACUUUGGAUGACGCGUUCUUCCUUGUUGCCCAUGGGGGGAAGAGGUUCCUUAAUUAUGUGUGGGUGAGGCUGCUGCCCAUGGGGCCAAGAAACCACAUGCAAAAGAGGUCCUAUUUGACGCGCACUCUCUCUACUGCCCAUAGGGGAAGAGAAAAACCUUGAAGGUAUGGGUAAGGUUACUGUCCAUGGGGUCAAGAGUCUACAUACCAAAGAUGACAAUAUCAUGCCAGUUGUGAAUGAGUGGAUCCCUUAACAGGUCUAUGUGGUAGUGUGGUAUAUUUAUGAUAAUUUACCAUAUGUUAGAUAUUAUGGCUUUGGAAAUUAUAGUGUUGGUGCUCACAGAUUAUAAUAUAUAGUUUCAAGGUAUUUACUUUAAGAAACUUUGUAUUUUAUUAUUCAAUCAAUCUUGUCAUAUCAUAUUACUAUUAUUGAAAAUGGAACUUGCAUUUCCCCCACCCUCAUUAAUUAUGCUACUUACUGGGCUCUGUCUCAUUCCAUUAUUUUAUAAAUUUUUUCAGAGUAGGUAACAAUCUUUUGAGACAGCUUUUUGGUGGCUAACAAUAGUUAGACUAACUACUGAUGAAGGCUAAACCUUUGUAAUGGAGAUAUUAGAUGAUGUACACCUUAGAAUAGGCUUGACUCAUUCUUUUGUAUAUUAUAGUGGUUGUGACUUUAUUCCCACUGAUAGGACAAGCUGAUGAUAUGUAAUUAUUUAUUCAGACCUCUAUUCUUUUAUAGCCAAUGGUCCUUAUAAUUAUUGCUUAGAGGUCUGACUUACUUUGAGAGUAUAUUCAAUAGAAUUAUUAUGAUAAUUUUUGAUGUUGGUACUUGAUAUGAUUUUUGUGGAUUGGAUUGUCAAAAAGGAAAAAUCUACAGGUACUUUGAAACGUCUUUCUCAUGUUUUGGACCCUUUGGGGUUUGGGGUGUGACAGGAGGUCCGAGGACGAAUGCCACCUCGGCUUAAUAGAGCCGAGGUUAGAAGGUUAGACCUGCCAUCAAAAGCAACGUUCUAGGUGGUUCUACUGGUAAGGAUAAGCAUCAGGAAGGGAUAAGGAAAUGGGAAAGUAAGAAAUAUCUAAGGGAAAACUGUUGUCACCGCAUUGAAUGCUCUGUAGUUAACUCUCUGGCCGCAUUAAUGUGGAGGUGAUACCUGAACAGUGAUAUUCAGCCUUACAGCUACCUCUAAAAACUUCAGGAAUAUGCUAAUGGGACAAGGAUAAAAGUUAGCCAUCUGAUCAACACUUAGAUGGUUGAGAUGGAGUGAAGAAGGGUAAUAUAAAGAAGAAAAAUCCCAUUGUAGAAAGGAUUGGAGAAUUGAUAGUAAAAAAUAUUGUAGCACUAAGAGUUAUAGUUGUAAUCAAGUCAAAAAGCAAUAUAUUCAAGAACUACUCUUCUCGGACUUUGCCAAGGAAGAAUUUCUUUGCAAAAACUUGUUUUUCUUUGUCUUUUCCUUGCUUUCGUACUAUCUUUAGUCCAUUGUGAACGUUGUCCAAUUCAUUGAAACCUAGUUUUUAGCCCAUGUUCUACAAAUUCUUUGUAUUGGGCUCUUUGGGCCUUAAUCCUUUUACCUUUUCUAGGAUCCAAAACCUACCCUUACAAUUGGCACUGUCUAUAGGAAACUUGAGCUUUGGUGAGUUCAAAGUCCAACUAUGGUGGGUUCAUGGCUAAACCGGGAGGAGUCUAUUGGUUCCCGACGCCAAGACCAGUUCCUCAAUCUUGAGCGAAUAAGGGACUGGGAGGUUAGCAUGCAUACCACACAUACUAAUAGGAGUCAGUCUCGAAGUAGGAGUCACCUCUCCCAUGAAGAGAAUACUAGAAGAAUGCAGUUGGAGAUUGACCAACUACAGAGGAGGCCACGUCGCGAGCGAUGAAGAAAGACUCCUUCAAGGCUUUAAUUCUUCUUCUGAUGAAGAUAGGGAUGGUAGCAACAGGCCUAGGUCAAGGACCCCUCCUAGUGAGUCUUUUUCAUAUAGUGAGGAUCACCAUUAUAAGCGUAGAGGUAAGAGUCCACCCCGCAAAGGUCUGGGCAACGAUGCUAUGAGCAAGGCCCUUAACCAAAUUUCCAAAUCGCCUUUUACACGCAGAGUUGAAGGAGGAAAACUUCCUCGGCGGUUCACUUAGCCAACAUUCACCAUGCACAAUGAUCAAAUAGACCUUGUGGAGCAUGUAAGCCACUUCAACCAGAGAAUGGUUGUUCACUAUAAGAAUGAGGUCUUGAUAUGCAAAGUGUUCUCAUCUAGUUUAGGGCCUGUAACGAUGAAAUAGUUUGAUGGCCUGGGUGAAGGCUCUAUUAAUUCCUUUAAAGAGCUUACUCAGGCAUUUGGAUCUCGUUUCGUUACUUGCAGCAGAGUUCCUCGGCCCUUGGACUCUUUGUUGUCCAUGAUCUUGCAAGAGGGGAAGACCCUGAAAACAUACUCUGACAGAUACUAAAAGAUAUUCAAUGAGAUUGAUGGGAAUUUCGAUGAUGUGGCCAUAAGGACUUUCAAGGUCGGCCUACCCACCGAGCAUGAUUUGAAAAAGUCUUUGACAAGGAAGCCUAUUAGGAGUGUGCGUUAGCUCCUAAAUCAUAUUGACAAGUAUAGGUGGGUCGAGGAGGAUCAACAUCAAGGAAAAGGAAAAGCUAAGAUGGUCCCCCAGGACAGGAGGGAUUUUAGGUCGGAUAGGUACAAUAACAACCGACCUUGGAAAGAUUUUGCUUGGCAUUCAGCUCAACUACUACUCAAGUGGUUAGCACUGUAUUCCGAGAACCAGUGUACCAGAUUUUAGAAAAAAUUAAGAACAAGCCAUACUUUAGGUGGCUAAAUAAGAUGGGGGAGACCCCACGAAAUGCAACCAGAGCCUUCAUUACCAAUACCACCAGGAACAAGGGCACACUACUGAAGAUUACAAGACUCUGUGGAGUCAUCUAGAGUGAUUGGUUAAGAUGGGGAAGUUGAAACAGUUCCUAUAUCAGCCCAAUGGGCAGGGUGGUCAAGCAAGCUUAGGAGCUCAGAGAGAUGCUUCUACAAAACCACCUUUAGGUACAAUUAAUGUCAUUCUUGCUACUCUAGGAAUAACUAGUUCUCAGCCAUCCAGUUUGAUGUCUAUAGCUCGACCAUUUACAAAAGACUUGCCCCCUGAUUCAAAGAGGAAUAGAAUGGAGGUCCAACCAGCUUUGAGCUUUUCUGAUGAGGACAAAGUUGGAACCUUGCAGUUACAUGAUGAUGCCCCAGUAGUUACUCUUAGGAUAGGAGGGUAUGACGUGAAAAGGAUGCUGGUAGAUCAGGGCAGUGGUACAGAUAUCAUGUACCCUGACCUAUUUAAGGGGCUAAAGCUGAGGCCCGAGAACCUAACCUGCUAUAACUCUCCUCUGAUAGGGUUUGAUGGGAAGAUUGUCUUUUCGAAGGGCCAAUCUAUGGCUAGGCAGUGCUUGGUGCCUACAAUCAGAUAUCAGGCUAGAGGCGAGUCCUCAGCUUUUGCCGAGUAAGGCUUAUGGCAAUCAAGGGUACCAGUGUGGUCUGCGGAUGUGGUGGUAGAAGAGGCAAGUUGUGAGGAGUUAGAGAAGGUUAUUAUUGGUGACGAUGAGGGCAAGUUCUUCCAGGAUGGAGUUCAGUUGCCUCCACAAGAGAAAGAAGAGCUGAUUGGAUUUCUUGGGAGAAACAUUGAUGUGUUUGUGUGAAGUACUUAUGAAGCUCCUAGGGUGGACCCAAAUUUCAUUUGCCAUCAUCUAAACGCCAAUCCAUCUGUCAUCCCCAAAAAGCAACCACCCUGGCGCUCAUCUAAAGAACAUUCUAAUGCCAUCAAGGGAGAGAUAGUCAAGCUUAAGUGGGUCAAGGCCAUUAAAGAGGUGUUUUAUCCUGAGUGGUUGGUUAAUACAGUGGUGGUGAAGAAGAAGAAGAGUGGGAAAUGGCGAAUAUGUGUAGACUUCACAGAUUUGAACAAAACCUGCCCUUACAAGUUCUAACCUCAAUCUCUCCACUGCUACCACUAUCCUUGAUUUCUUUGCAGAUUAAACACCAACGAAGUUACAAAAAUAGGCUUCACCUAAAGAUAAAUCAGCAUUAUCAUUUACAAUAAGUUAGAGAAUCAAACUUUUGAAUCAACUAUUUUAAAUAUCUGAACCUUUUUCAAAACAAUUGUUUAAUAAGAUCACAAUCAUCUACUUCUCCGUAUACACAUGAACCCACCUAAUGAUACCAAGAGAAUGAAAGGAAAUGAGAGUGAGCCCCAAAUCCCAAUCCCACCCACAUUUCAUACUUCAAUAUAAUUUCUCAAUCUCAUACAUACAAGUCUCAAUCUCCCUCCAUAAUUAAAAAAGAGAUAGAAAUAGAUUUUGGAAAUGUCAUAGUCUUUGAUUUAUUUGUAGUGCAUGAGCUUGAAGUUUUUGAAUUUUGAUAGCAAUGAUCUUGUGGAGUUGCAGAUGUUGGGUUUGGGGAACAAUCAAAGAAUAGUGAAGAACAAAAAAUAAAAUGAAUUUCAUUUAACAUUAAAUCCGUACCAGACCUUGUAUAAUACAAAAAGAUGAGAAACUUACACAUUUAAGCCCCAUAACAUCCCACAUCAGUCCAUCUAAAGUCCUAGAAAGCUCGAUCUUGCCAAGGCCUCUAUAACACCCCGGUUGUUAAUUGUAAUUUGGAAGAAGCUUGAUGGGCAAAUUGGUCAUUUUUCUUGCAAGAUAUUUUAGGGACAAGCUUGGAAAUAGGUUUCAUCCCCUUAAUAUAAAAUGAAUUUCAUUUAACAUUAAAUCUGUACCAGACCUUGUAUAAUACAAAAAGAUGAGAAAUUUACACAUUUAAACCCCAUAACAUCCCACAUCAAUCCAUCUAAAGCCCUAGAAAGCUCGAUCUUGCCAAGGCCUCUUUAACACCCCUAUUGUUAAUUGUAAUUUGGAAGAAGCUUGAUGGGCAGAUUGGUAAUUUUUCUUGCAAGAUAUUUGAGGGACAAGCUUGGAAAUAGGCUUCAUCCCCUUAAGUCACCCCCCCCCCACUUUCACAUUCACGUCUCUCUCUAUCUCUCUCUCUCUUGAGCUACCACCCCUCUCCCUUUCUCUCACUUGAAUCCCUCUCUCUCUCUCUCCAUGGUCUUCCACUAAAAAUACUUCAGCCAUGAGGUUCUUUUCAAGCCAUCACCACUUGUGAAGAAAAGAUUUUUGGGAAGAGAAGGACCCAUUCGGCCAAGCAAGGAAUUUAAGGUUCCAAGAUUUUUGAUGAUGGACCUAGUGAUGGGAUUGGUUGAUUUCAUGGUGCCCAAUUGAGGUAAAAUUGGCUGGUCUUCCGAGGUAAAUAGCUUUUUAUUGGGAUUUUUGAAAAAUAACCGUAUUGCAUAAAACAUUGUUUUUAGGUUAAACACGUUUUGGGAAAUUGUUUUUGGAAACUAUAUUUUUCCUAAAAAGUGUCGUGUUGUAACCUUAACUAAUAUGAUUAUUUAUGAGAAGUGCAUCAUAUUUGUUAUUGCAUAUGAGGAAAUGCAUGAUUUGUUAGCAUGGAAAGAACAAGCAUCUUUGAUUAAAUUCUUGGUAAUGGAUUUUAUGGAUUUAUUGCAUUAUUUGCAAAAUUUAAAGAUGCUUUCAUCUUGACUUGUGAUAUUUGGGAAAAUUGAUGCAAAAUAUUUUGACAAGAAACGGUUUUGAGGAAUUUGAGAAUAUUGUGGAUAUUUGGUUAUCAAAAUAUCUUAUGAAACUACUUGGAAGUAAACUAUAUAUUUUGAAUACAUUUAACUUGUGAGCUUUUGAUGUAGGUUUGCCCUUGUGCUAUGAUGUUGGUGAUUACCUCGUCUUUGUGACAACGUCUUUGUGAUGUGUGAUUACCCCAUCGUUGUGACAACAAGUCAAGUUAGAGCCUUUCACUUUGCAUGACACAGGUAAAUUCUUGAGUGUGUGGGUGAGGCUGCUGCCCAUAGGGCCAAAAGACCCCAUGCAAAAGGGGUACUGUGUAACGCGUCAUUCCCUGCUACCCAUGGGGGGAAGAGGUAAAUCCUUGAGUGUGUGAAUGAGACUAGGCAGGGCCAAGAGACCACAUGCAAAAGAGGUACUACAUGGCGCAUUAUCCCCUGCUGCCUAUGGUGGGGAUAGGUAAAUCCUUAAGGGUGUGUGUGAGGUUAGGUAGGGCUAAUAGACCACAUGUCAAAAGAGGUACAUAACAUCUAAUGGUUUGUGGGUUCUAACUUCUCUAUGGCGGUAUAAUGUCUUUGUGACAUUUUUGUCUUUGUGAUAGCUUGUCAUGUGGCCUUGGGUUGGAUUUUCAGGUUUUAAAAUGAUGUUUUGAUAGCUCACAGUAUAUUAUACAUAGUUUCAUAUUGAGAUAUUUUCAAAAAGCUUUGUACAAUAUAGUUUCAAUCAUUCUUGUCAUUUUACCAACGAGAAUGAAUUUGCUAAAUUUUCAUGGAAAUUCCCAAAUUAUAUAGCAUGUUUUUUAAAAUGUUUAUUAUCAUGAAACUUGCACUUCCCCCACCCCUAUUAAUUAUGCUACUUACUGAGUUUUAACUCAUCCCAUUCUCCAACAGUUUUACAGAUAAAUUAGCUAUACAUCGGACAUGGAGCUUAGUUUAUUGGUGGUGAUUGGAGUACCAUGCUAAGUGGGAGAUUUGUGCUAUAAAUUGUUGGUGACUCAACUUACUAAAUUAUUCGAGGCCAUAACUAAUUCUACUAGAGGUUGGGCUCUUGAGGUUUGUUAGCCUUGGGCAUGAUAGGCGUAGAUUUUCUGUUGAGGUUAUGUAUCUUAGAGAGGAUCGUGACUUUGUGUUUAUUUAUUUGGAGCUUUGGAUUUUCAUGUAUAUUUGGAGACACAUGAUUUGUAGUUUGUAUUGUUUGUAAAUGUGUCAUAGAGCUCUAACUUAUAUUGUGGAGAAAUCAAUAUAUUUAUUUAUUUAUUUAUUUUAUCAAAUGGAAAGAAAAAAAAUC